AACGAACGCUGGCGGCAUGCCUAACACAUGCAAGUCGAACGAGACCUUCGGGCCUAGUGGCGCACGGGUGCGUAACGCGUGGGAACCUGCACUUAGGUUCGGAAUAACUCCCCGAAAGGGGUGCUAAUACCGGAUAAUGUCUUCGGACCAAAGAUUUAUCGCGUUUGGAUGGGCCCGCGUUGGAUUAGCUAGUUGGUAGGGUAAAAGCCUACCAAGGCGACGAUCCAUAGCUGGUCUGAGAGGAUGAUCAGCCACACUGGGACUGAGACACGGCCCAGACUCCUACGGGAGGCAGCAGUGGGGAAUAUUGGACAAUGGGCGAAAGCCUGAUCCAGCAAUGCCGCGUGAGUGAGGAAGGCCUUAGGGUUGUAAAGCUCUUUUACCCGGGAUGAUAAUGACAGUACCGGGAGAAUAAGCUCCGGCUAACUCCGUG
Molecule: ribosomal RNA, 433 nt
Filed under: uncultured bacterium
Lineage: Bacteria
Description: partial 16S ribosomal RNA
Rfam family: Bacterial small subunit ribosomal RNA
Source: RNAcentral